Anthonomus grandis grandis is the source of this 2720-nucleotide RNA transcript. RefSeq lists it as uncharacterized. Lineage: Eukaryota; Metazoa; Arthropoda; Insecta; Coleoptera; Curculionidae. The transcript is spliced from 10 exons. The record is from RefSeq and is a predicted model, not a curated record.
UGACAUAUGUCAUAUUGACCGGAUACGCGUCAGAGCAGUCAAACUUGGCCAUUUUCUUUUCUUAUUUUCUUUGAAUUUCGUCUUUGUUUAGAGCGUUUGGUCUCCGGUGCGGUGUCAUUUAAAAUCCAUUAUUGUGUUGAAAUUACCUUAAAAAGCCAAAUCAAAAUGCAGCGUGGCCGCUCUGACACGACCACCAAAGUGUUUGUUGGUAGCCUCCCGGCGGCAGCCACAACCGAUGAUCUUCGGAAGCUUUUCGAGCCCUACGGUAAUAUCGCCGAGUGCGAUAUUUCCAAUAAAUGCGGUUUCUUGCAUUUGGACGAUGCCGACCUGGCCAUGAAGGCGAUUAAUGAUCUGAAUGGUACAGAUUUUAUGGGGUCUCGCAUUUCCGUUGAAAAAGGACGCGUUAAAAUGAGACGUGGUGGAGGUGGCGGCGGCCCUAUGCGUCCGGGCGGCGGUAGAGACAGGGGAGGUGGCCCAUAUUCUAGAGGUGGUGGCAGAGACUUUGGUGGUGGACGAGGAGGCAGAGGUGGUUUCGGUGGCCGAGGAGGUGGUAGAGGUGGUUUUGGAGGCAGAGGUCGAGGAGGUGGUGGCUAUGAUGACAGAAGAGGAGGUGGUGGUGGUGGUGGUGGAUAUGGGCAAGACAGAGGAGGUUAUGACUCAUAUGGAGGUGGUGCCAGAGGAGGCUAUGAUGACAGAGGGGCAUAUGGAGAUGGACCCAGAGGUGGUGGUGGAGGUUAUGAAGAUAGAAGGGUAGCACCGCAUGUUAGGGUUCCAGAAGGAGGGGACCUUUACAGCAGACGUGACAUGGGGAAACCAAUGGGUGGCGGUGGAGGCGGAGGCUACGACAGAUACGGAGCUGCCGGCGGUGGCGGCUCUAACGGUUACGGCAGCGCUGCCGCCGGCGGUUACGGAGGUGCUGCCUCCGGUGGUUACGGAGGUGCCGCGUCUGGUGGUUACGGCGGUGCCGCCUCCGGUGGCUACGGAGGAGGUGCCGGUGGCGGAUAUGCGGCCCAAAGUGCCGGCGGCGGUUACGGAGGUGCCGCCAGCGGUGGCUACGGUGCAGGUUCAGCAGCCGGCGGUUACGCGGCUAACACCGGCGCGGGCGGAUAUGGCGGCAACGACGGAUAUGCUUCCGGUGGUGGAGCGGCUGGUGGAUAUGGAGACAGUAGUGGAUAUGGUAGCGCGGCUGGCGGAUACGGCGGAGGCGGUUACGACGACGGUUACGGCGGUGGCGGCGGCGCUGCCGCAGGCGGCUACGACUCUGCCUAUCCUCCAUUACCAGCACAAAGAGGGAGAAGCCGGUUCCUGACAUCUAUUCCAAUUGUCUAAUACGCCUCUUCACCGCAUUCAGUGAACGUAAAAACGGAGAGGUGUCAGGGAAAAGCGAAAUAUCUCAGUACCGAUACUAUGCGAUCUGUCUGUACUGCCAAAAAUUCUUAUUCAUCCAGUCCAUAUUCUCACCUCUUGACCCGCAUAAGUGUCGGUGCGUAGAAUAGGUUCAUGCGCGUGUAUAAACAUUAUAAUUGUAUCGAUAAAAGAGUGUGUAAAAAGUGAUAGUAAAAUAGGAAUAAUCUGGGAAUAAAAUAGGUCAGACGUAUGAUUGAACACAAAUUUUUAAUUUAAUUUAAGUCCUACAAAAAAAAAUAAUGCAAAUAGCAUUGGAGUCGCAAAAAAAACAUAAAAUAAUACAAUUUUUUGUAGUAAUAAAUAUGUUCCUUAUUAUCUGAAAUCCCAUUGAACCCCUUAAACGAUCCGUUUCCAAUUCUAGUAGCCUGAAAAUGACCUAAUUAUAUUAUAUUUCAAUAGUUUUCUUUGGUGUUACCAUUGUAUUGGUCACUAAUAUUUCUACAAAUUCUGUUUUCGAACAUUUUCUUCAAUAAUAAAACUUGUUUACCUACUCCUGUGUGUUAAUAAAAUGCGCCUGUAUUUUGAUAACACUCUCGGUAAGUUCGUCCUUCGGUUAUAACUCGGUACUCUUUUAUCAUUCCGAAAAUGUAUUAUAAGUGAAGAAAAUGCUUAAAAUAAUUUUUGAGUUUUAAACAGAUUUUCGGGUAAAUUUAUAACCAGGAAAGAUACCAAAAUGAUUUAUUUUUAACAAGUUUUUUUUCUGUACCUAUUUGCAUCCCCUAGUGGUAGAUUACCAUAUAUUUUAUGUAAACGUUGAAAAUAUGAAGCCGUUUCGCUAAAUAGAUCUAUGCCGUUUAUUCCAAGUUCAUUUUAAAAUCGUAAGUCACGGAACGUAGUAGAAGACCGCAAACAAGUAGGCACAAUAGAUAGACCGAGCCCGAAGCGAAUUAAUUAUUGCCGAUAUAUAUAAAGAAAGCCACCCCGCCGAAGAAAAAUCAGCGAAGAAAAUAGCGUUUUAACAUUGCGCCAUCUCACGUGAAGGUUAAGAAGACAUGAUGCGUAUAAUGUGCGGCGUUCGCCUACUUAGCCAACGAAUACAUGCUUAUGCGUACGACUUUGGCCCCAUUGCGCAGGUAUACGUGGCAUACCAACGAAUUAAAAAAGGUUUCCUACUUGAGGCUUUGAAUAUGUGGGGGUGAGACAAAGAAAAUGUAUCGCUUAGGGAAUGGUUUGGUUUGCCGCUAGUGAAAAGCUUUUUUCAGAAACCAUGUUUACCAAUCAUCAGGGAACAAGCAAUCGGAUAAAUUACAGAUAAUUUUUAAAUUGAAAUUAUUGAUAUUAACCAGGUUACUAAAUAAAUGAAUUUUAACUUA